UACGAAGGGGGCUAGCGUUGUUCGGAAUCACUGGGCGUAAAGGGCGCGCAGGCGGCUAUCCAAGUCAGGCGUGAAAGCCCCGGGCUUAACCUGGGAGGUGCGUCUGGGACUGGGUGGCUAGAGUUCGGGAGAGGAGAGUGGAAUUCCCAGUGUAGAGGUGAAAUUCGUAGAUAUUGGGAAGAACACCGGUGGCGAAGGCGGCUCUCUGGACCGAGACUGACGCUGAGGCGCGAAAGCGUGGGGAGCAAACAGG
This 253-nucleotide ribosomal RNA is filed under the name uncultured bacterium. RNAcentral describes it as "partial 16S ribosomal RNA". It matches the Rfam family "Bacterial small subunit ribosomal RNA", at positions 524 to 776 of the family's 1533-position model. The record is from RNAcentral.